RNAcentral lists this ribosomal RNA (264 nucleotides) under uncultured archaeon. RNAcentral's name for it is "partial 16S ribosomal RNA". It matches the Rfam family "Archaeal small subunit ribosomal RNA", at positions 717 to 982 of the family's 1478-position model. The record is from RNAcentral.
AGACGUCUACAUUAGGAUACCCGUGUAGUCCCAGCCGUAAACUAUGCGCGUUAGGUGUAUCGGUGACCACGAGUUACCGAGGUGCCGAAGGGAACCGUGAAACGUGCCGCCUGGGAAGUACGGUCGCAAGGCUGAAACUUAAAGGAAUUGGCGGGGAGCACCACAACAGGUGGAGCCUGCGGUUUAAUUGGACUCAACGCCGGGAAGCUCACCGGAUAGGACAGCAGAAUGAUUGCCGGGCUGAAGACCCUGCAUGACUAGCUG